RNAcentral lists this ribosomal RNA (468 nucleotides) under uncultured bacterium. Its description in RNAcentral is "partial 16S ribosomal RNA". It matches the Rfam family "Bacterial small subunit ribosomal RNA", at positions 28 to 507 of the family's 1533-position model. The record is from RNAcentral.
GACGAACGCUGGCGGCGUGCUUAACACAUGCAAGUCGAACGGAAAGGCCCUGCUUUUGUGGGGUGCUCGAGUGGCGAACGGGUGAGUAACACGUGAGUAACCUGCCCUUGACUUUGGGAUAACUUCAGGAAACUGGGGCUAAUACCGGAUAGGAGCUCCUGCUGCAUGGUGGGGGUUGGAAAGUUUCGGCGGUUGGGGAUGGACUCGCGGCUUAUCAGCUUGUUGGUGGGGUAGUGGCUUACCAAGGCUUUGACGGGUAGCCGGCCUGAGAGGGUGACCGGCCACAUUGGGACUGAGAUACGGCCCAGACUCCUACGGGAGGCAGCAGUGGGGAAUAUUGCACAAUGGGCGGAAGCCUGAUGCAGCAACGCCGCGUGCGGGAUGACGGCCUUCGGGUUGUAAUCCGCUUUCGCCUGUGACGAAGCGUGAGUGACGAUAAUGGGUAAAGAAGCACCGGCUAACUACGUG